UACCACACAAUGAUUUUUCUUUGGAAUGCAGAAUGGAUCAGUACUGACAGUCAUAACUAAAACAGAACACCUGGCAAGAAUUCUAUUCAAGAAUUUGAUUUCCUCCUACAAUUCCUGAGAAUUGUGAAUGCCUGGAGAGUUGAUACUAUUCAUAGUUAGUAACCAUAUUUUGGUGUUUAUUUUCAAAAGUGAAUUUAUCCUUCAAUUUUCCCUGUCUACUAAUGAUAAAGUAUAUUUAUUAGAACUUCUUCAAUAUUACCUGGUAAUAUUGAAGCUUGGGUAAUUAGUUGUUUUUAUAGUCCUUUACACUUAAGCAUUCCCAAUUUAUGCCAAAUGAUAGGAAUAAACAUAUCCCAAAGUCAUAAAAAAAUAAGAAAAACCAGCCACUGAGAGAAUAAAUGGGUGCAUAAAUGCUGAUUUUUAUCAUUUGUGAAAAAAAAAGCAUGAGGUUUCUCAGCAAGGUGAAAGCUAUUUAGGAAGGUUUUUAAAAAUUGACUAAGAGGAAAAUGAGAAUUUCAUUUCAGACUUUCAUAUUAGAGACAAAGGCAAUAUCAAGGGAUUUAAACUUAUAAAUACCUUUAUUCUCAUCUGGAAACAUCUACUAUAUUUUUCAAGCAUGGUUUCCUUUCAAAUAAAACUAAAUAGAACUCAUUUUUUUCAUCACAAGUUCACUUUUCAGUGUGUAUACACUAAGCAGAUAUGAGAAAAUGGUCUCAAUUGCUGAGGAGGAUGAAUUACAGAGUAAUUACUGCAAUGAUGUUUGUCUAUUUUCCAUCAAAGCCAUAAAGACAAGAUAAAUAGGUGAAGGAAAUGGAUACCAGCAACUUGCCUAGGCUCCCUAGGGCUUCCUAGCAACAUGUGGACCAUAAGGCCAGAGGCCACUCAGAAUCUGUAUACAGUGUUGAGAAAUAAUAAGCACCGAUUAAAAAAAAAAGAUUAAAGGAGCCAUAGAGGAGCUCUGCUUUCAGCAGCGACCUAUCUGCCUGUCUGCUAUAUUAAAAUGCACACACAGUAGAGGGUCCAAAUGGUACCUAGUGUUUCUUCAAGAAAAUCAUGAAUGAGUUUGGAGAUCAACAGGUGAAGAAACUGAAGAACAGAGCCUAAGUAUCUUGCUGUCACACAUGAGAAGUGAUGUAAUAAGAACUGGAACCUAGGCUCUGUGCUCUUUGCCACCACUCAACUCUUAACCUCUAUUCCUACUUAAAACAAAUAAAAACUUUGACUAACUUAAAGGAGACUAACACUUUUGAUGACAUCAGAAUACUGUUAGCAUGUGCUAGUGACAUUUUUAAAAAUAACCUUGGUGAGUAGCACCAUGACCUUUUGCUCUUGAUACCAAGAGGUAAAUUAUGCACUUUAUUUCAUUACAUUACAUGAGGGUAUUAAUAAAAUAUGCUUGUGUGAAUGCAAUAAUUACCAUAAUAAAUAAUUACUGAGUCUUUGCCCUGGGCUAGGCAGUAUUCCAAGUACUUAUUAUAAAACAAGUGAUUUAACUCUCAAAACAUUCCUAAGAGGUAGAUGCUAUUAUCUUCAUUUUAGGGGUAGAGAAACUAAGGUAGAAAACUAAGGCAGAAAGAAGUUAAGAAACAUAACCAAGGUCACACUGUUAAUAAAUUGUUGGGGCCAGUGUGGUACCAGAGUUCAUUCUCUUACUACGUUCCUACACUGGUUUUCUUUAAAACAAUCUGAUUUCCAAAGUGCAGGUAUUUUAAGUAUUCUGCAGUAGUGACGCUCAAUCUGACUACACACCAGAAUUUUUCUGGAGAGACUAAAAACAGACUAUUGGACAUGCUGGUUUGGAGUGAGGCUUGAGAAUUCUCCUUCCUAGUCAGUUACUGGCAGUGCUGAUUCUAUUGACCCAGGGACCACAGUUUGACCACUGCUAUAUGAUGUGGAAGUUCAAGGAUCCAACUGAACAGGCAAACCUGACAUACAGUGAAAUAAAUGAUGAAAUGUCCACCAGCUAAUGGUAGAGAGGGGCUCAUUGUAUUAGCCAUAUGCAAGAUUAUAUUCAAAUAAAAUGCAUGGGAUGUACUUAUGCUGAAAAUCAUUCAUUACUUAUAUGCAAUCUAAACUUAAUAGUGUUCUGUAAUUUA
This is a long non-coding RNA of Perognathus longimembris pacificus (Pacific pocket mouse), 2096 nucleotides long. RefSeq lists it as uncharacterized. The transcript is spliced from 3 exons. Lineage: Eukaryota; Metazoa; Chordata; Mammalia; Rodentia; Heteromyidae. The record is from RefSeq and is a predicted model, not a curated record.